Molecule: ribosomal RNA, 442 nt
Filed under: bacterium CPTAC62
Lineage: Bacteria
Description: bacterial SSU rRNA
Rfam family: Bacterial small subunit ribosomal RNA
Source: RNAcentral
UUUGAACGCGAAGAACCUUACCAGGUCUUGACAUCCCUCUGACCGUCCUAGAGAUAGGGCUUUCCUUCGGGACAGAGGAGACAGGUGGUGCAUGGUUGUCGUCAGCUCGUGUCGUGAGAUGUUGGGUUAAGUCCCGCAACGAGCGCAACCCUUGAUCUUAGUUGCCAGCAUUUCGGAUGGGCACUCUAAGGUGACUGCCGGUGACAAACCGGAGGAAGGUGGGGAUGACGUCAAAUCAUCAUGCCCCUUAUGACCUGGGCUACACACGUACUACAAUGGCCGGUACAACGGGCUGGGAAGCCGCGAGGUGGAACGAAUCCUAAAAAGCCGGUCUCAGUUCGGAUUGCAGGCUGCAACUCGCCUGCAUGAAGUCGGAAUUGCUAGUAAUCGCGGAUCACCAUGCCGCGGUGAGUACGUUCCCCGGUCUUGUACACACCCAAAA